This is a non-coding RNA of Triticum aestivum (bread wheat), 115 nucleotides long. The record is from Rfam. Lineage: Eukaryota; Viridiplantae; Streptophyta; Magnoliopsida; Poales; Poaceae.
UUACUACUCCCUCCGUCCGGAAAAGCUUGUCUUUCAAAUGGAUGUAUCUACCACUAACUUGGUGCUAGAUACAUCCAUUUGAGGGACAAUCUUUUUCGGACGGAGGGAGUACUUA